UGGGGAGUGACGUCAAAUCAUCAUGCCCCUUACUGUUCUGGGCUACACACGUGCUACAAUGGCCGGUACAGACGGACGCAAAGCCGCGAGGUGGAGCAAAUCCUAAAAAAGCCGGUCUCAGUUCGGAUUGCAGGCUGCAAUUCGCCUGCAUGAAGUCGGAAUCGCUAGUAAUCGCAGGUCAGCAUACUGCGGUGAAUACGUUCCCGGGCCUU
Molecule: ribosomal RNA, 212 nt
Filed under: uncultured Cryptanaerobacter sp.
Lineage: Bacteria; Bacillati; Bacillota; Clostridia; Eubacteriales; Desulfotomaculaceae
Description: partial 16S ribosomal RNA
Rfam family: Bacterial small subunit ribosomal RNA
Source: RNAcentral